RNAcentral lists this ribosomal RNA (318 nucleotides) under Triticum aestivum (bread wheat). RNAcentral describes it as "partial small subunit ribosomal RNA". The record is from RNAcentral. Lineage: Eukaryota; Viridiplantae; Streptophyta; Magnoliopsida; Poales; Poaceae.
AUGCUGCACCAGGAACAAUAUCACACUGGUUCGGAGGAGAGAGGGGGCGACACCAGCGGGGCAUAUGUUGUCGCCAUGCACCUACGGGCCCCGGCACGGCACUCCCGUCCAUUAUCUUCGAAGAAGGCCACUACCUCCUUGCCUAGAUUGAAGGUGCCGCACCGUCGCAAGAUGAGAUGGAUGCUGCGGGAAGAUGGCCACAUAGAGAGGGUCAGCGCAUCCCCAACGAGACGUCGGAGGCUCUCCUUGAGCAGAACAUCGCCACUGCACACAUCCAACACCGGAGGGGGAAGUUUCACGUUAGAUGCAUAUAUCUAA